RNAcentral lists this transfer RNA (92 nucleotides) under Erwinia phage pEa_SNUABM_9. Its description in RNAcentral is "tRNA-Ser". It matches the Rfam family "tRNA". From Rfam's summary of the family: Transfer RNA (tRNA) molecules are approximately 80 nucleotides in length. Their secondary structure includes four short double-helical elements and three loops (D, anti-codon, and T loops). Further hydrogen bonds mediate the characteristic L-shaped molecular structure. tRNAs have two regions of fundamental functional importance: the anti-codon, which is responsible for specific mRNA codon recognition, and the 3' end, to which the tRNAs corresponding amino acid is attached (by aminoacyl-tRNA synthetases). tRNAs cope with the degeneracy of the genetic code in two manners: having more than one tRNA (with a specific anti-codon) for a particular amino acid; and 'wobble' base-pairing, i.e. permitting non-standard base-pairing at the 3rd anti-codon position. Lineage: Duplodnaviria; Heunggongvirae; Uroviricota; Caudoviricetes; Chimalliviridae. The record is from RNAcentral.
AGAGAGGUGCCGGAGUCUGGUUUAUCGGGCCGGUCUUGAAAACCGUUGGGGGCGAAAGCUCUCCCUGGGUUCGAAUCCCAGUCUCUCUGCCA